RNAcentral lists this ribosomal RNA (301 nucleotides) under uncultured bacterium. Its description in RNAcentral is "partial 16S ribosomal RNA". It matches the Rfam family "Bacterial small subunit ribosomal RNA", at positions 509 to 807 of the family's 1533-position model. The record is from RNAcentral.
CAGCCGCCGCGGUAAUACAGAGGGUGCAAGCGUUAAUCGGAAUUACUGGGCGUAAAGCGCGCGUAGGUGGUUCGUUAAGUUGGAUGUGAAAUCCCCGGGCUCAACCUGGGAACUGCAUUCAAAACUGACGAGCUAGAGUAUGGUAGAGGGUGGUGGAAUUUCCUGUGUAGCGGUGAAAUGCGUAGAUAUAGGAAGGAACACCAGUGGCGAAGGCGACCACCUGGACUGAUACUGACACUGAGGUGCGAAAGCGUGGGGAGCAAACAGGAUUAGAUACCCCGGUAGUCCCUGUCUCUUAUAC